RNAcentral lists this ribosomal RNA (560 nucleotides) under Ceroplastes stellifer. RNAcentral describes it as "eukaryotic LSU rRNA". Lineage: Eukaryota; Metazoa; Arthropoda; Insecta; Hemiptera; Coccidae. The record is from RNAcentral.
GUCGGUCGUCGAUUCGAUAUUUCCGUCGCCGACCCUCGUACCGAGGGUGUCGGACGUCGCGACCCGUUCGCCGAGUCGAUGCUUAGGGACGCGUUUUUCGGUUCGCCAGCGCGGUCGCUUCGGCGGCCGCGCGACGACGGCGCGUUUCCGUUGUUUUCGACGCGGACGGUAGCUUUGCGCGCGGGUAUUCGACGCGGCCCAUUCGCCCGGCGCGCUUUAGCGUCGGGCGGCGCUCGCGUCGACGCCGGUCAGCGACGAAUCUUCGGGCCUCUUUCCGACCCGUCUUGAAACACGGACCAAGGAGUCUAGCGUGCGCGCGAGUCGCGGGGUAUCCGAGCCGUUUUAAGCGCGGCUCGUCACGAUACGAAACCCGUGUACGUACGUUGUGCGAAGGCGUAAUGAAAGUGAAAGGCGGCGCUUCGCGCGUCGCCGGGGGAAGAUGGCGUUCCGAGUCCACGUUUCGCGGUCGCACGUGUACCGCGGCCGGACGCUCGCAUUCCCAGGGCGUCCCGCUCGUACGUCGGCGGUCGGGGUUCGCGCUUCGGCCGCCGUCGAACUGG